GAGUAAUGUCUGGGAAACUGCCUGAUGGAGGGGGAUAACUACUGGAAACGGUAGCUAAUACCGCAUAACGUCGCAAGACCAAAGAGGGGGACCUUCGGGCCUCUUGCCAUCGGAUGUGCCCAGAUGGGAUUAGCUAGUAGGUGGGGUAACGGCUCACCUAGGCGACGAUCCCUAGCUGGUCUGAGAGGAUGACCAGCCACACUGGAACUGAGACACGGUCCAGACUCCUACGGGAGGCAGCAGUGGGGAAUAUUGCACAAUGGGCGCAAGCCUGAUGCAGCCAUGCCGCGUGUAUGAAGAAGGCCUUCGGGUUGUAAAGUACUUUCAGCGGGGAGGAAGGGAG
RNAcentral lists this ribosomal RNA (343 nucleotides) under Escherichia coli. RNAcentral's name for it is "bacterial SSU rRNA". It matches the Rfam family "Bacterial small subunit ribosomal RNA", at positions 108 to 454 of the family's 1533-position model. The record is from RNAcentral. Lineage: Bacteria; Pseudomonadati; Pseudomonadota; Gammaproteobacteria; Enterobacterales; Enterobacteriaceae.